Molecule: ribosomal RNA, 497 nt
Filed under: uncultured bacterium
Lineage: Bacteria
Description: partial 16S ribosomal RNA
Rfam family: Bacterial small subunit ribosomal RNA
Source: RNAcentral
GAUGAACGCUGGCGGCGUGCCUAAUACAUGCAAGUCGAGCGAACAGACGAGGAGCUUGCUUCUCUGACGUUAGCGGCGGACGGGUGAGUAACACGUGGAUAACCUACCUAUAAGACUGGGAUAACUUCGGGAAACCGGAGCUAAUACCGGAUAAUAUUUUGAACCGCAUGGUUCAAUAGUGAAAGACGGUCUUGCUGUCGCUUAUAGAUGGAUCCGCGCCGCAUUAGCUAGUUGGUAAGGUAACGGCUUACCAAGGCAACGAUGCAUAGCCGACCUGAGAGGGUGAUCGGCCACACUGGAACUGAGACACGGUCCAGACUCCUACGGGAGGCAGCAGUAGGGAAUCUUCCGCAAUGGGCGAAAGCCUGACGGAGCAACGCCGCGUGAGUGAUGAAGGUCUUCGGAUCGUAAAACUCUGUUAUUAGGGAAGAACAAAUGUGUAAGUAACUGUGCACGUCUUGACGGUACCUAAUCAGAAAGCCACGGCUAACUACGUG